This is a long non-coding RNA of Ornithorhynchus anatinus (platypus), 783 nucleotides long. RefSeq lists it as uncharacterized. The transcript has 3 exons. Lineage: Eukaryota; Metazoa; Chordata; Mammalia; Monotremata; Ornithorhynchidae. The record is from RefSeq and is a predicted model, not a curated record.
GGAAGCCUAGGCAAAUAGGAAGGAAAUUGAAUUAAGAAGGUUUGUACGUUCUUCGGGAGACAUGACAGCGAAACACAGAGCUAAGACAGUCUAUGGAGCAGCUGGAGUGUCCAGCCUUCUUUCCGACAAAGACCUGAACCUCUCACAGCACGUCUGACUUCUAAAGUAUUUCCCGCUGUGCCCACCUAAGUACGAUACUUUAACAGCACUGUUUAGGACAGAAUCAUAAACACUGAAGUCCUGGAAUGCGUUCCGUCCAUCAGCAUCCCACAGUGACCAUUGCAUCACGUCCUUCUGAUCCGCUCGCUUAGCUAGACGAGUUUACACAAGGCCACAACCGACUAGAAGAGAAGCAGGCUCUACGUAGGUCUUAACGGAGAGUCCGCUGCUCCAGAGAAGUGGCUAAUUGCUCUAACAGCUGUUCAAUUCGAGAAUCUAAUCUACAGCCAAGAGUUCUGCUGAUCAAAAGAGAAACAUAUACACAGAGAAAGCAGUACAUACUCUAAAGGAAUAGCCUAAAGGGAAAACGUGGAAUCGGCUCUAAUACAUACCCAGAUUUCAGGUCUGUUAUCCUCAAACAGUUUGUAGCAUCCAACCCAACUUUUCCAUUCUUGACCACGCUGGAUAUGAACGGCGAAAGCAUUGGAGAAAUCCGAUUCAAGGCCACUUCGGGCGACAUUUCGGCUUCCUCGUGUUGGGCUGCUCUGCAAAUGGGAGCAAAGGAACUUUGAGCAAACACGGCACCCCCUCUGUUUUCUAUUAAAAUGUAUCUGGAUUCCUGCA